UACGAAGGUGGCGAGCGUUGUGCGGAAACACUGGGCUUAAAGAGCACGUAGGCGGCCCAUCAAGCGCCUUGUGAAAUCCAAGGGCUCAAACGUUGAAUUGCUUGGCAUACUGUCCGGGCUUGAGGCAGGUAGGGGCACGUGGAACUCUUGGUGGAGCGGUGGAAUGCGUAGAUAUCAGGAGGAACACCGGCGGCGAAAGCGGCGUGCUGGGCCUGUCCUGACGCUGAGGUGCGAAAGCCAGGGGAGCAAACGGG
RNAcentral lists this ribosomal RNA (254 nucleotides) under uncultured bacterium. Its description in RNAcentral is "partial 16S ribosomal RNA". It matches the Rfam family "Bacterial small subunit ribosomal RNA", at positions 524 to 776 of the family's 1533-position model. The record is from RNAcentral.